GACUCGAUGGCGGAUGGUCCGCGCCUGCUUUCACUGUGCACAUCAUCUUUAGGUUUAACUUUAAGCGGGUGUUCCUGGUUCGAAUCCGGGUCGAGUCU
Molecule: non-coding RNA, 98 nt
Organism: Mycena filopes
Lineage: Eukaryota; Fungi; Basidiomycota; Agaricomycetes; Agaricales; Mycenaceae
Source: the annotation of a GenBank genome assembly